UCGGAAUCGAUAACCGCUGAAAGCAUCUAAGCGGGAAGCGAGCCCUGAGAUGAGUCAUCCCUGACCCCUUGAGGGUCCUAAAGGGCCGUUGGAGACCACAACGUUGAUAGGUGGGGUGUGUAAGCGCGGCGACGUGUUGAGCUAACCCAUACUAAUUACCCGUGAGGCUUAACCAU
This 176-nucleotide ribosomal RNA is filed under the name Aeromonas salmonicida. Its description in RNAcentral is "partial 23S ribosomal RNA". It matches the Rfam family "Bacterial large subunit ribosomal RNA", at positions 2755 to 2925 of the family's 2925-position model. The record is from RNAcentral. RNAcentral also lists the same sequence under 7 other names. Lineage: Bacteria; Pseudomonadati; Pseudomonadota; Gammaproteobacteria; Aeromonadales; Aeromonadaceae.